RNAcentral lists this long non-coding RNA (943 nucleotides) under Equus caballus (horse). RNAcentral describes it as "lncRNA (ENSECAG00000033193.2)". The record is from RNAcentral. Lineage: Eukaryota; Metazoa; Chordata; Mammalia; Perissodactyla; Equidae.
AAGGCAGCAGCCACGGCUCAGCCUGGCAUUCCUGCCUACCUCACAGAGCAGGGAAACGCCAGCGCAGGAGUCCCUGCGGAUAGAAAAGGAAGGAAUCUGCUGUGCACAGAGUGGGCAAUCAAUUCUGGAAUCAUUAGGAAGCUCUUUAGUCUGAUGAAGUCACAUGGAAGAAAUCUUUGAAGAACUCAAGUGGAUGCAUGAAAUGGUGCUGUUUCUUCUUGUUCCUCCAGAGAGCCUGUGUCCAGAAAGAUGAAAUGCCAAAGGCCCAGACCUUCAGUAACUGUGGAGUGAAACAAACCCGCCUCAGUGAAGCAGGGGGUUGAGAGCUGUCCUGGAUGGCAUUCAUUUAAAUGUCCACACUGUUUGUACCAUGGGAUUGUGGAGCCUGUCCCACUAAUACGGCGGGAUAUAUUCCCCCACCUGCCCCCUUGGCUUUGUUUUUAGCCCUGUGACGUGCUUUGGCCAAGGGGGUAUCAGUGGGAGUAACUUAACCAAAGGCUGGAAAAGCAUGCGUGCAACAUCUCUGCCUUCACCAAGAGAAGAACACAAUCUGGCUCCUUUGCUGGUUCAGGACACAGAUCCAGCUGAGAUGCGCCUACCUCCCAGCUUAUCUGCAAACUCAUGAGCUACGCAAGAUCCUUAGCUUUUGUGGUUUGUAGGCAGAGCUGAUCGAUUCAGAAUUUGGUACCAGAAAAGGGGUACUGCCGUUAUAAAACGUAAAUCAUCUGGCAUUGCCUUUGCAAGAAGCAGCAGGCCCUGAGGAGACAGUUAGAAGAGGUUGGAAAAUGUCAAGGGAACUGUUUUAGGGGGAUGAGAAAUUGGAGACAUGUUUUGUAGUGAUGAAAAAUUUGGCAAAACUCUCACAUGAGGUUACUUAGAAGAUUGAAAAUGUACCUAAUGAAUUUUUGGAAUUGCACAAGAAGAACUCCAGGGAAAACAUAAC